This 85-nucleotide transfer RNA is filed under the name Rubrivivax sp. Its description in RNAcentral is "tRNA-Leu". It matches the Rfam family "tRNA". Rfam says of the family: Transfer RNA (tRNA) molecules are approximately 80 nucleotides in length. Their secondary structure includes four short double-helical elements and three loops (D, anti-codon, and T loops). RNAcentral also lists the same sequence under 2 other names. The record is from RNAcentral. Lineage: Bacteria; Pseudomonadati; Pseudomonadota; Betaproteobacteria; Burkholderiales; Sphaerotilaceae.
GCCCGGGUGGCGAAAUCGGUAGACGCAGGGGACUCAAAAUCCCCCGCCGCAAGGCAUGCCGGUUCGAUUCCGGCCCCGGGCACCA